GGAAGCCCUCGAUUCAAUUAUCUUACAUGUUACCUCAUCCUAUAAUUAUACUUCACCGCCAAAGAUUGCCUUCUACUGCUACUUGAGGAGUGGAUUACAUCUAACCAUUUACCCUAUUUCUCCAUCGCAUGUGUCACAACCUCAAUUUGCAUGUUAGGUUUCUGCACAAUUGCCGGAGAUGCUUCUUUGGAAAUGUAAUUCCUUCGCUAAUUUGCUCUUUA
Molecule: long non-coding RNA, 221 nt
Filed under: Nicotiana benthamiana
Lineage: Eukaryota; Viridiplantae; Streptophyta; Magnoliopsida; Solanales; Solanaceae
Description: long non-coding RNA (NBEN_LNC005461)
Source: RNAcentral